AUUGAACGCUGGCGGCAGGCCUAACACAUGCAAGUCGAGCGGAUGAAGGGAGCUUUCUCCUGUAUUCAGCGGCGGACGGGUGAGUAAUGCCUAGGAAUCUGACUGGCAGUUGGGGAUAACGUCCGGAAACGGGCGCUGAUACCGCAUACGUCCAGAGGGUGAAAGUGGGGGAUCUUCGGACCUCACGCUAUCAGAUGACCCUAGGCCGGAUUAGCUAGUUGGUGGGGUAAAGGCCUACCAAGGCGACGAUCCGUAACUGGUCUGAGAGGAUGAUCAGUCACACUGGAACUGAGACACGGUCCAGACUCCUACGGGAGGCAGCAGUGGGGAAUAUUGGACAAUGGGCGAAAGCCUGAUCGAGCCAUGCCGCGUGUGUGAAGAAGGUCUUCGGAUUGUAAAGCACUGUUAGUUGGGAGGAAGGGAAGUAAAUUAAAACCUGGCUGUUUUGACGUUACCAACAGAGAAAGCACCGGCUAACUUCGUG
Molecule: ribosomal RNA, 484 nt
Filed under: uncultured bacterium
Lineage: Bacteria
Description: partial 16S ribosomal RNA
Rfam family: Bacterial small subunit ribosomal RNA
Source: RNAcentral